CUCUAGAGAUAGAGUCUUCCCCUUCGGGGGACAAAGUGACAGGUGGUGCAUGGUUGUCGUCAGCUCGUGUCGUGAGAUGUUGGGUUAAGUCCCGCAACGAGCGCAACCCUUAAGCUUAGUUGCCAGCAUUAAGUUGGGCACUCUAAGUUGACUGCCGGUGACAAACCGGAGGAAGGUGGGGAUGACGUCAAAUCAUCAUGCCCCUUAUGAUUUGGGCUACACACGUGCUACAAUGGACAAUACAAAGGGCAGCUAAACCGUGAGGUCAUGCAAAUCCCAUAAAGUUGUUCUCAGUUCGGAUUGUAGUCUGCAACUCGACUACAUGAAGCUGGAAUCGCUAGUAAUCGUAGAUCAGCAUGCUACGGUGAAUACGUUCCCGGGUCUUGUACACACCGCCCGUCACACCACGAGAGUCUGUAACACCCGAAGCCGGUGGAGUAACCAUUUAUGGAGCUAGCCGUCGAAGGUGGGACAAAUGAUUGGGGUGAAGUCGUAACAAGGUAGCCGUAUCGGA
RNAcentral lists this ribosomal RNA (514 nucleotides) under uncultured bacterium. Its description in RNAcentral is "bacterial SSU rRNA". It matches the Rfam family "Bacterial small subunit ribosomal RNA", at positions 998 to 1509 of the family's 1533-position model. The record is from RNAcentral.